CCAAAUAUAUUUUCCGGAGUGGAUUUACAAUAGAAUGAGGCAAGGACAAGAGCUCUGUUUGGAAUUUGAGGAAGAUGGGGAUGAGGGAAUUGCCAGAAAGCUUGCAAUUGUGGCACUUUGGUGCAUUCAAUGGAAUCCCACGGAGAGACCUUCCAUGCCAAUGGUAUUACAAAUGCUUGAAACUGAUUUACAAAGCUUGGAGAUCCCUCCAAUGCCCUUUGUCUCUUCUGAUGUUGAGACAGGUGCAAUCACUUGAUCUAGAUAACAGAAGAUUACAAUUUAAAAGGGAUAUUGUUAAUUUGUUUGAAAAUUUCCCCGAUUAUAAGAAAAAUUAAUUAGUCCUCCUUGUUAUUGGAGCACUUGAAAAUCAGUAUAUUGAGUUUUUGUUCGAUUGUGGUUGUUUUAUCUAUCGCUUAAAAUCUUUGAUGUGUUCAACUGAUACAACAUUAAUACAAUAAUAGAUGACUUUUUUCAAUUUGUCAUAUUAGUUGAGGACCUACUAUUGUACUUCUAUUACCUACUUGAGAAUUGAGAUGAAUGAAAUUUAUUAUUUUAAAAUAUAAAAAACUUAAUAUUAUCUCUCAUAUUGGACAACAUAUUUACAUAUGUUGUCGUAUUGUGCGCUCAAAUAAAAUUGAGGAAACUUUUUUUUUUCAUGAUGAUUUUUUUCCUUUAAAACCAAAAUAAAGUUAGGAUUCAUUUAUGUUUUAGUCACGUGCUUGUUUCAAAAUUUUACUUUCUUACAACGUUUUUAUGAUUUUUUAAAAUGUGCUCUCAUAUUUGUUAAAUAUAAAAAUUAAAGUCCAUGAUAUUAUAUUCAUCUUUAAGUUUCUCAAACAGCUACUUUGGAAGUGAAUCAGACAAGCAGGAAAAAAAUGAACAAAGAAAACGGAACAGUUCAUGGCUUUAUGUUUCUUUAUGGACUGCAGUUGCCUCCAAGAAUAGCCCAAGUCAUUAGUGGGCUUUUAAUUCUGCUCCCAUGAAAAGCCCAAAGCGUCCACGAUGAAGCAGGUCACAGGAGCAGUCCCAAUUCUGAAUCUCUCUCAACUCCUCAAGCGGGGAUUCAAUUUGAAUGCCGCCAUUUGCCUCAUUUCACAAUACAGAUAUGCAUGCAUGGAGGAUAUAUAUACACUGGGUUUAGUUGUGUAUACAUAACUUAUAAAGUUAUAAUUGUAUUAUGAGUAUAUAUGUAUAUGUAUGUAUGUGUGUGUCUGUGUGUGUGUGUGUGUAUGAACAAAUAAAAUAACAAUCAAAUGAAAAUUAACAAGUAACACCUGGAAGAAGAUCAGUGGAUCACUACAGUUUUGAGGGCCAAAUGAAGCUGCGCGUUGAUGACAGAAUAUAGAGAGCACAAAGAUUUAAAAUGCGUUUGAUUAAUGGCAUUUUAAUUUAUGUGCUCUCUAUCUUCUGUCAACAAAAUUUCAGAAAUUUAGCGCCCUCUACUUCAAUCAGAACAAACACACGCACCAAAUAUUAAAGAGGAAAAAAAACAUCACCAAUCGAUACGCUUUUGUCUCCACAAUAAUAAAUAGCAGUUGAAUAGCCUUGGAAGCGGGCAUAUCCGUAGCAGCACGAAAUUGAAGUACUUGAUAAAUUGUUUACAGUAGCAAGGUAUUUGUAUGCAUGAUGCUAGUUAAAUGGUCGCAGGCUUAAAAGCAUUUUUUUUAUAAAGUGCUUCCCCCUAUUAGGCUGGAGAUAAAUCAAGUCUACAUUGCUUUCCCUCCUUUUCUUGUUCGCCUUUUGCAAUAGAUAUGUUAUUAUAUUGUUUUUUUUUAGCAGCACAUUUUCAUGAGACUGCUAUUGCCAUAUCGACUGCCAAGUUAAUCAUUUGAUCAAUAUUUUAUUUUAUGGAUUUGAAUUCGACAUGACAGAUAUUAAAAACAAGUGGCAUACAACAUGAUAAAAUUGUACGUCAAUAUAUACAUUAUACUAAUGCAGCUGCGAGUAUGUGACAUUUGAAAUGAGCGACUAUUUCAUUAAAGCCAUUUACGGCAGAACUACAUACCACAUGAAACACAACAGGACUCGUUAAAAUGUAACAAAAUUAAUACGAAAACAUUUGAUAGAGAGGAAAUCUCUGCACAAGUGACUUGCCUUCAUAAAAUAUCAUGGUGAUUGGUGAGGGCUACUCAUAGAACCAAUCCUGAAUCGGAAAUGGAGAGUUUUGAAAAUCAUAUGAAAAAUUAGCUUACGAAGACACAUCAAAAUGUUGCACCAAGCAUAAGAUUCAAGAUAUCCUUAGCUCGAAUAUGUUGUAUGUAAGUUAAGUGGAAAUAUCAUGAUGUAAGUUAAGUGGAAAUAUCAUGACACAUUGAUUUUUAUUUAUUUUCCCCUUUUCGCCUAACUAGUAUUUUAUGGUGGUCUAACUUUUUCUAUCUGUAUACUAUGUGUGAUGAAUAACAUAUAAAUUGAUCUAAAGUUUAGUCAUAAAUUAUACCAUUGGUACUCUAAUCUACUUGAGAUUAAUGAAUGUCGUAUAUGAUAAAAAAAAUUAUUAAUAUCAUUAUAUGCUGUCAUAUCCCAUGAUCAAACUAAGUAUUCGACCAUUAAUUUUCCAAUAUCAUUAUUUGAUAUAUUUACUUGUCCCCAUAAUCACAGUCUAACAAUUUAUGUUUUUUUUUUUUGGGGUCUCAAUAUGAAGCCCAACUCAUUUUAGGCAUUCAAUGUUUAAAUCAUUAAAAAGCUUAAAUAGUCCCCAAUGCGCAAGAAUAGAUUCAUAUCCUCAUGGCCUUUUUCGACAUAACUGAUUUGUCAAAAGUGUGUGUGUAUGUAGACACACACACACAUAUAUAGUCAUGUGUGGAAAUCUGCAUCCUUUAAAACGUGAAUUUACUAAUAUAUUGUAUAUUAGUUAAUUGAAAAAAGUUAAUAAAAACACUAAAGCACUAAAUGGUAUAUACGUGCCGUCACACACGCCUACAACAUAGAAACGUAUCAUGCAUUAUAUAUUAUGCGAUUGUGCGCAUUUGAUCAUAAUUUAAUAUAUAUAUAUAUAUAAAUCUGUCUUAAUUCAUAAAAAUAAUAAUAGUAACAAUAAUAAUAAUUACAACAGCAUAAUUUUUAGAAACGCGUGAACUUGACAUGAGAAGUCCUCGUUCUUCUGCGUGUCGGUCGCUUUAAAAGCGUUGGUCGUCGGGGGCCGUUCCAAAUUUCCAAUGCCGCGUUUCUCCAAAUCCUGUUAACAUAAAUAAAUAAAUAAAGUAAGCCAUUGCGUUUGGUGGUGAGAAAAAUUAUGAAAGCGAAUGAUAUUGACCGGAAUUGGACAGCAUACAUGGAAACUGUUUCCAAUAAGUUCUAUCGCUUUUAAUAUUGAAAGGACGUUUACUAAGAAAUUUGAGGUCAAGCUAGAAUGGGGAUGGAUGGAUCAUCCCAUUCCCACCGAUGCUAACUCAUUUACAAUUACCAGGAAAUUAAGCGACUUCACUUUGCCGUAUUGACUUCCCCACUGAAAUCUGAAAGCUUCCACCUAAACAAAUCGUGGAAAGAGACUUCAGAAGCUGCGUGGCAUUCGCAUACAAAAUUUACGGUAAGAAACGAAAUUGAACAUGUUUAUCCAAAUUUGUCCCUUUAUCUUCCAUUGCAUUAAUGCUAGAAGCCCAGAGCUCAGUAAUUAAAAAUUUUCUUCCAUCGUGUCGAUUUCAUUUUAUGAAUAAUUAAUAGUAUUUUUAAACAAAUUAUUUAGCGCUAAUUAAUUCAAUCACAUAAGUUGUAUACUAAGCUAUGAUAAGUUUAAAGCCUGCCUCUCAUCGUGCAAGUGAAACUGUAGAAAACAUAGCGCAUUGACACUUUUAUACCGUUCUGCUUAGUUUAUUCAAAUUUGUUAAUUGUAUCCUGGAAUUGGAGGAGCAAUGAGUAGUGAAGAAGCUUCAAUUUUCCCGACUUUUCUGUUUUGUCUGUUGAUGUUUGUAUUCAGCCCCAGUGAAAUUGAAACAAGAAAACUUGAAGUAAAAAUGUGUUCUUCUUGUGGAGAUGUCAAAAACAUAAGCUACCCUUUUCGCCUCAAGGGCAAUCCAGCUGGAUACAGCAAUCCGGAGUCAGAACUUUCUUGCGAGAGCAACAAAACCAUCUUAGAACUCAAUUCUGGAAAUUACUAUGUGAAGAGAAUUUCCUAUGAUGAAAGUACAAUCAGUGCUGCCGAUGUUAACCUAGCCAAUGGAAGCUGCAGCCUCCCGUACAAAUCUUUUUCCCUACCUUAUUACUUUUUCGGAAAUUUUUUUCAGUACAUUCUUAAUCCAUACGCCUAUUACGUGAAUUGCUCGAGUAAUAUUGUUGAUGUGGCGUUUACAAAAGUUCCAUGUUUAUAAAUACUUAUGCAUUCAAAUGCAAGGGCUUUGUUUUUGUUUUUCAAUAUUGUACGUAAUAAAGAAUUUGUGAACUAUCUCUAAGAGCAUACCGAUAUGACCUUUAAUUUCUGUUUCUUUUCACUUUUGCAACAGUUUGCAUCCACAAUGCAGGAGUAGUGGCAAAGAUUAUUUGCUACCCAUAUUAUAUACGUAAGCAUAUCCUUAUACAUCUUUUUGAUCAUGUGUUUUCGACGUUAAUAAAUGCGAUGGGUUCAUAUAUUCUCUAGUCUUUUACUCUAUAUUUUUUUCUGAAUCAUCUCUCUGAUUAGGCAUAAAGCUUAUUUUUAUUUUUUUUCCCUCUCACCAAUUGCAGUUAACUUAGUAAUUUCCCAAGCAAUCUUUUAGCCUUCCACAAUGUACUCAUCAGGAAUGUGGGAUUAGAUAAGUUUUCUGUCAGGUAAAAUCUCCUCUCCAGGAUCCUCUUUUUAUUGCUUUGCUUAGUACUAUUUACUUUCAAAUAUCAUUCUCCUUACCAGGGUUUCCACUUGAUGUUCCGAUAAUUGGUAGAUUUAUUCUUGCUCCAAUAGUCUUUCUCGUGUUCCUUAUCCAAAAAUAUAGAAAAUCAUUGGAGAGAGUCGAUAGUCUUGAGAAAUUUCUGCACAACCAGCAAUCGUGGAUGCCUAAAAGGUACUCUUACCCCGAGAUAAUUGCCAUGACAAACCACUUCACUCAUAAAUUAGGCCAAGGUGGCUUUGGUUCAGUUUAUAAAGGACAGCUUCAUACUGGUGGCUUGAUUGCUGUUAAGAUGCUGGAGAACUCCAAGUUCAGUGCGGAGGAAUUCAUCAAUGAAGUUUCAACAAUCGGUAGAAUUCACCACGUUAAUGUAGUCCAGCUAUUGGUGUUCUGUUCCGAGGGAUCCAAACUCGUUCAAGCAAAGCAUAUUUCCCAUCUUGGGUAUAUGACCAAUUAAAUAAGGGAGGUGAUUUAGAGCUUCGGAAUGUGACUGAAAUCGAGUCCAUGAUUGCAAGGAAACUGUGUAUGAUUGGUUUAUGGUGUAUUCAGGUGAAGCCAGCUGAUCGCCCCUCCAUGACAAAAGUUUUGGAAAUGUUAGAAGGGAGUAUCGACGAUUUGCAAAUGCCUCCGAAACAUUUCUUCUCUUUUUCUCGACAUGUCUCUGGAAGAGAGAUUGAAUCAGAUUCUUCAACAGAGUUGUUAGUGUCUGAAUCAAUUGAAUGUUCUUUCAAUGAUAGUUAUGCUUAGUUUUGGCAAUGAUACGUGGAAAAAAGAAAUAAAUUGUCCUCGCACUACCAGAGCUUCUGUAACAUUAUGUUGAAAAAUUUCAGUACGAUUCAUUGUUUGAUGUGAAUAUUCCAAUAUUGCUCGUAUCGACCAGAAUGUGAUGUAGGUUUGUCACGUGAUCAUGUACAUUCAUCAACCUUUUGCAACGCUGCUUGCUGCAUAUCUGAUUGAGCUAGAGUAUGCUUUGAACUCUCUGCUCCUGCUCAACUUAAUUUAAAGUACAAUUACCAAAGUAUAUGGGAGACACCUAGCUAUCACCACACAUCCACUUUUGCUUAAUAGCUAAUAAUUGAAUCCCACAACAGUGGUGAAUUAAAAGACACAUAGUUCCCAUCAAUCCUAAACUCACCAUUAGUCUCACACUGAUAUAUCAUGGUAAGCAGAGGGUAGUUGCUAAGAAUUACCCGUUUUCUAAAGAAAAUUACUUACUGAUCUUAAAAACAUAAUUUUCUCAUUUCUUUACCUACAAAUUACUUUCACAACUCUCACUAAAAUCUAUAUCACAAACAGCAUGUCUCAUCCUGUUCCUCCAUGCAUCUGAUAUUGGCAGAUAUUGAAGUUGACGAGUCUCUUUGGGGCUACCAUUGACUUAGAAAAAGGAGAAAAGAAAGAAGGAAAGAACCGAAGAAAUUAAAAGAAACCCAUUUUCCUACCUUUUUCCAUGACAAACUGACAAUCAAACUCUCCUCUCCCUUAUUACUCCAAAAGCAUAACUCAAACUCUGCUCUAACUCAAAAUCCGCUCUCCCUCUCCUUCCAUGUCCCUCGUGAUGAGUUUAAUAAUCCUCUUCCUCUUCUUACCUAACACAUGUACAUUAGCCAAAGCUUCUGCGGAAGACAAGAAGACCGAUAAAUAUGAAUUCUGUCAACCAACAAAUUGCAGUAAUAGUAGCCCAAGUAUCAGAUAUCCCUUCAGACUCAAAACUCAGCCAACAUCUUGUGGCCUUGAAGGGUUUGAAUUGUCAUGCUUAAGUGACAAGACAAUCUGGCAUCUUCCUUCCUCCGGGGAUUAUUAUGUCUAUGAAAUUUCUUAUCUGGACAACAGUAUUACCAUUACAGAUGUGAAUGAGAUGGCAUGCCAGUUUCAAUUUCUUAUCUCUUUCAACCUCACACACUCCAAAUUCUUUUUUCUUCCCUUUAACGAAAGUUACGCUUUAUGUAACUGCACUUCGAAGGUUGUAGAUGUAGAACGGACUUCUGUUGAACUAAUUGGACCGAUCAAUUGUCUUAGCAGUGAAAACAAUUAUGUGUAUACCAUAGAUAGCAAUUAUUCAAUGGAGGAUAUGCCUUCACAUUGCAGAAAAUCUCGAACAGUUGAGAUUCCUGCUGGAUUACCUCUCCAGGAUGUUGCUACGACGGCGAGGCCAACUCCAGUAGUAUUAGGAUGGAGAGCUCUUGAUGGAUGCUACGACUGCGAAAAUUCAGGGAAUUAUUGUGCGUUCAACACUACAAGCAAUUCGACAAUCUGCGUUGCCGUUAAACACCAAAAACGUAAGUAACCAUAUCUUUUCUCAGUCACCUCUCUCUACAGUGCUUGAAAGUGAAAGCAUUGUCUUUAUUUAGCUGACAAAAAAAAUAAUAAGUUGAAUUUAUUAUCAUUGUUAUUGUAGCGAAUUGGGUGCUUUAGAAAAUGAUGAACAACCCAAUACACUGCCUAAGAUCACAAAUCUAACCAACAAGAUGCUAAGACCCUAAACAAAGAACCUUUAAGUGUUAACAGAGCCUUUAAUGCAAAUCGUUGUAAUAAGAAGAAACCAAGAAUCAGAAUUGGAAACUAAUGAAACUCAGAAGCAAGAAAAAGUUUUACAUGGUUUGAUUGUGUAGAAGAGCACAAUCUACAUCCACAGGAGAAGCUCACAGAGCAAGCUUUAUUGAUGAUUCAAGUAAUCUUUAUAGAGUAAUACAAGAACUAACUACUAGGAUCAAGACUAAGCUUUCUCUCUAUCUUAACUCUCUUUAUCACGCUCUUAGAUCGAUGAUGAACCUGCCCUAUUAACCAGCUUAUAUAACAGCUGAUAUCAAUUCCAGAAUGCACAGAUUCUUGCCACAUGUACUAACAGCUUUCUUAACUGACUUGAUUCUCCUCUUCAUGUGCACUCCACAUGUUCCACUUAAGCCUUUAUCCAAAACGUCAUAAAUCCUUGCCGUUUCAGACUUAAGUAACCUACAUGCCAAGCUCGUGAUACCUGAGCUCAUUAAACAUAAACAAAAUGCUGCCAUUUAACUUGCUCAAGUUUUGGAUUCACCAUUUUAGUCCACAUUUCUCCACCUUGAACCAAAACUCCUCAAUCUGCUUCAUUCUCCAAAACCUCAGGCAAUCAGCAGUCACCCAAGCUGGCUAGGCUCAAGCACACCUUGAACUUAGCUGUAGUUACCACCUUAGUAAGCAUAUCAGUAGGGUUCUCAUCAGUAUGAACCUUGGACAUUUUCACAGCUCCUUUGGAUACUUCAUUUUGAAUGAAAUGAAGUUUAAUGUCUAUGUGUUUUGUCCUCUAAUGAUGUGCAGGGUUCCUACACAAAUGAAGUGCACUCGAGCUGUCACAAUAUACUGUUACUGUCUUCUGUUUCACCCCCAGUUCUCUCAUUAAUCCUUGUAGCCAUAAUGCAUGUUUCACAGCUUCAGUGGCAGCUGUGUAUUCUGCCUCAGUGGUUGACAGAGCUACCACAUGUUGCAGAGUGGCUUUCCAAUUCAUGAGACAACCACUAAACAAGAGCAUGUAACCAGUUAAAGACCUCCUCCUGUGUAAGUCCCCUGCAUAAUCUGAAUCCACAAACCCCAGCAGAUCUUCACAACUUCCUUUAUUUUUUCCAUACACCAGGCCACAGCUCAAUGUACCAGACAGAUACCUCAUUAUCCACUUAACUGCUUUCCAGUGCUCAUUUCCAGGUGUUGCCAUGUAUCUGCUCACAACGCUCACAGCAUGUGAUAUGUUUGGUCUUGUCAAGACCAUGGCAUACAUAAGGCAUCCCACUGCAUUAGCAUAAGGUACAUCUUCCAUUUCCAGCUUCUCUUCACUUGUUUUAGGACAUUGCAAGUUACUAAGCCUAAAAUGAGCUGCUAAGGGAGUCACAACAUGUUUAGAAUUCAACAUUUGAAAUGAGUGCAGUACUCUGGUCAAAUAUUUCUUCUGUGAUAAGAACAUAAGACCAGCAGCUCUAUCUCUUUCAAUUUCUACCCCUAAUAUUUUCUUUGCAAUCCCCAAAUUCUUCAUAUCAAACUCAGAGCUUAUGAUCUUCUUCAAAUCCUCUAUUUCUUCCCUUACUUUGCAAGCUAUCAGCAUGUCAUCUACAUAUAGGAGGAGAUAUAUGUAGAGGUCAUCCUUCAACAGUUUGUAGUACACACAACAGUCAUAACUACAUCUCAUGAAUCCAUGUGUUACCAUAAAUUCAUCAAAUCUGAGAUAUCAUUGUCUAGGAGACUGUUUUAAACCAUAAAGGGAUUUCUUAAGCAAGCAAACAUGUCUGGGCUUCUUGGGGUCUUCAAACCCCUCAGGUUAAGUCAUGAAUAUUUCUUCUUGAAGUCUUUCAUGUAAAAAAGCAGUCUUGACAUCAAGUUGAUCAAGCUCCAUGUCUUGAACUGCUGUAAGUGAUAAGAUUACCCUUAUUGAGGCAUGCCUGACAAUAGGUGAAAAAACUUCUUUAAAGUCAACCCAUUCUUUCUGUGUAUAGCCCUUUGCCACAAGCCUUGCUUUAAAUCUCUUUGGUUCUGAGCUGGUCAGUCCUUCUUUGAUUUUGAAAAUCCACUUGCAGCCCACUAUUCUCUUUUUUUCUGGUCUUUCUACCAGUUCCCAAGUUUUAUUGUUGUGCAGGGACAAGAUUUCAUCAUCCAUGGCCUCUUUCUAUUCUGUUCUGAAUUUGCUCUGGAUUGCCUCAUUGAAGGUCUUUGGUUCCUCAUCAUCAAUUUCAUGUGCAACUUCCAAGGCAUACGUGAUGAGAUCAGCAUAUCCAUAUCUUCUGGGUGGUCUUGUUAGCCUUUUUGCUCUGUCUCUAGCUAGCUGGUAACCUUGCAUUUGUGAUUCCAGUUGAGUUGCAUCCUGAGCUUCUGACUCAUCAUUUAUUUCACCUGAAUCUGCAGCUUCAUGUGUUUCACGAUGAUUAGGUAGCUCCACCUCAAACUGAUGUGUAUCAAGCCCUUUUGCUUCUUCCUCAGACUUUCUUUGAACAAGUUUCUUGGGUAUGAGUUCUUCUUCAUUGAAUAUCACAUCCCUGCUAAUUAUGCAUUUUGGAGGGUUUAUAUCUGUGCACCAGAUUUUGAAUCCCUUAACCCCUUUUGGAUAACCUAUGAAGAUGCCCUUUAAAGCCUUAGGAGCUAGCUUUCCCUAGCUUACAUGUAUAUAAGUUGUACAGCCAAAGACUCUUAGAUCUCCAUAGUUUGCUGGCUGUCCAGUCCAUCUUUCAUAAGGUGUUUUGAAUUCUAUGGCUGAAGAUGGACUAAGGUUGACCAGGUAACAGGCCGUUAAGAGUAUUUCUGCCUACAAUGACUUGGGGAGAUUUGUUUGAACAAGCAUGCACCUCACUCUCUCCAUGAAUGUCCUGUUUAUCCUUUCUGCCAGGCCAUUCUGUUGGGGUGUCAACCUAACAGUUCUGUGUCUCAUAACUCCCUCCUCUGCACAAUAUUUUUCAAACCUUUGAUUACAAAGCUCUAAGCCAUUGUCUGUUCUAAGCUUUUUCAGCUUCUUUCUAGUCUGAUUCUCAACCAAAAUUUUCCACUCUUUGAACUUAUCAAACACUUGAUCUUUACUCUUCAAGGUAUAGACCCAUACCUUUCUGGAAUAAUCAUCAAUGAAUGAUAGAAAAUAACUAUUACUCCUUAGAGAUAUCUGUUGAGCAGGCCCCCACAAAUCUGAAUGAACAUACUCCAACUUAUCCUUGGACUUAUGUACUGAUCUCUUGAAACGAGACCUUGUUGCUUUGCCUAGCACACAAUCUUCACAGAAGUCUAAGUUUCCAAGCUUCUCAUUCCCUAAUACACCUUGUUUCUUAAGUUCUUUAAGGCCCCUUUCACCUAUGUGUCCUAACCUUAGAUGCCAUAUUUUGAUUUUAUCAAUGGUAUCAGCCACUAACAUUUUAGCUUCACCAUUAACUACAUCCCCAUCUAAGAUGAACACCCUAUUUUUCCUGCUACCUUUCAUAACAAUCUGUGAAUCUUUGACAAUCAUCAGCUCUCCUGAUUCAAUCCUAACACUACACCCCAUUUGAUCAAGCAUUCCCAAAGAAAUCAGAUUUCUUUUCAACUCAGGCACAUACCUGACUUGUUUUAGCUCCCUAAUAGUUCCAUCAUGUAGCUUAAGAUUAACAUUGCCAAUUCCCAUGAUUUUACACACAACAUUAUUCCCCACCAUUACUCUACCACCAUUAUACUCAUAAUAAUCAGUAAAGUAACUCUUGUAUGGGCUCAUAUGAAAAGUACACCCUGAGUCAAGAACCCAUUUACCUCUAUCUUUGCUGUCUGUGGCAAUGCACACUCCAGCAGAUUCAUAGCCCUCUUCUUCAGCUACUGCUGCACCUCCAUCUUACCCUUUUUUUUUGAACUUCUUUUCUGGACAAUCUUUCUUGAAGUGUCCCUCUUUGUGACACAAGAAACACUUCAGAUCUUUAGGUUUUUCUUUGUACUUGCCUUGCUUCUUUUUCUUGCCAUCUGAUUUGGCUUUUGCUGUUAAACCUUGACCUGAUUCAACUCCUAGAUGAUAUUGUUUGCCUUGCAGUUCCUUUGCAUUGAGUGCUGACUUUACUUCAUCCAGAGAUAGUGUCUGCCUGCCAUACAUCAAGGCAUCAACAAAAUUUCCAUAUGACCUUGGCAGAGAGCUUAUCAACAGAAGAGCUUUAUCUUCAUCAUCAAGGGCCGCAUCAAUAGUUUCCAAAGUGUCACACACUUUGUUAAACUUAUCUAGGUGAUCAUCUAAUGGUGUGCCCUCCAUCAUCUUUAAUGUGAACAUCCUCUUCUUUAUGUAUAACCUAUUUGCUAGGGAUUUCUUCAUGUAGAUACUCUCUAGUUUAGCCCAUAAACUAGCUACAGUAGGUUCUUUUGCCACCUCCCUUAUUACAGAAUCUGCAAGACUCAAGAUUAUCGUCCUUCUAGCCUUCUUAUCAAUCUCAGCAACCUGCGCAGGAGUCUUGGAUGUGGAGAACUCUUUACCCUCCUUCUUGGUCACUGGUUGGAUUGCAUCACCAAGGCCUUGAGUAACCAGCAAAGCCUCCAUUUUUACUUUCCACAUGUUGAAGUCAUUUUUUCCGUUAAACUUCUCAAGGUCAAUCUUUGGGUUUGCCAUACAGGGAUCUUGAUUUGUUAACCUUGCUAUGAUACCACGUGUAGUGAAUUGGGUGCUUUAGAAAAUGAUGAACAACCCAAUACACUGCCUAAGAUCACAAAUCUAACCAACAAGAUGCUAAGACCCUAAACAAAGAACCUUUAAGUGUUAACAGAGCCUUUAAUGCAAAUGGUUAUAAUCAGAAGAAACCAAGAACCAGAAUUGGAAACUAAUGAAACUCAGAAGCAAGAAGAAGUUUUACGUGGAUCGAUUGUGCAGAAGUGCACAAUCUACAUCCACGGGAGAAGCUCACAGAGCAAGCUUUAUUGAUGAUUCAAGUAAUCUUUAUAGAGUAAUACAAGAGCUAACUACUAGGAUCAAGACUAAGCUUUCUCUCUAUCUUAACUCUCUCUAUCACGCUCUUAGAUCGAUGAUGAAGCUACCCAUUAACCAGCUUAUAUAACAGCUGAUAUCAAUUCCAGAAUGCACAGAUUCUUGCCACCUGUACUAACAGUUUUCUUAACUAACUUGAUUCUCCUCUUCACGUGCACUCCACAUGUUCCACUUAAGCCUUUAUCCAAAACGUCAUAAAUCCUGCCGUUUCAGACUUGAGUAACCCACAUGCCAAGCUCGUGAUAUCUGAGCUCAUUAAACAUAAAUAAAACGCUGUCGUUUAACUUGCUCAAGUUUUGGAUUCACCAUUUUAGUCCACAGUUAUAUAUGCCGGAAAAGUUAUCAAAGCAGUGUAAAUGAAAAGAAAAAUAAUAAUUAGGCUUUGUAUUAUUUUUUCAAUUGUAAAAGUGUAAUUACAAUUGGAAGUUAAAAAUUAAAGAAGCCAUCUAUAUUAAUAGGGGUGGGCACUGGGCAAAGGUUAGAUUUAGUUGAAUUCCGAUGGUCAGUUUUUUUUAAAAAUUAAUAAUUUGAACUGAGCUGAAAGUCCAAUCAAUUUGGUUCGAUUUAGUUAUUUUUUUAUUUGACCUGUAAUUUCUUUUGCGUUUUUCUAUUUUUUUGGUUUUUUAUUUUCUCUCAUAUAAAUCGAUGGAUUUUUUUUUUUUACCCAAAAAAAAUUGACGAUUCAUUUUUUUGGCAGCAAAUACAAUUUUACCCACCCCUAAUCUGUAUGGCGAAUAUCAUUGCUAUAAAGGCUGCUUUCCAGUAUUAUUGCCAGUUGUAGAGUGGUCGAUAAAAUGUUGCUAGCCAGGCUGAUUUGAUUGUUUGAAGAAAAAUUGAUACUACUCAGGACCAAAUAGAUAGUACUAAUUUUCUCUAUCUCGUCACUUUAAUCUUGAAUCUUUAUAUUACAAUUAAUUUUCGUAAGUGGUGAGAGAUUGAUUAAACUCACAAAGCCUGAUAAAAGUUUAAUCUAUCAUAUUUUCUUGCGUACUCGAUGAAUACAAAUUAAGAAGAAUUAUUAUACUAAUACUUUUUUGCUAUGAUUGUCAUACGUCCAUGAUGGCAAAUUUAUUGAGAAUUUUUUUUUUCAAUCAAGUAACCCUCAAUAUUCACAUGGAAUAAGAGAUGAGGGGAAAAAAAAAUCACUUUGUGAAUGUAGAAAGGGAUAAAAAAUGCAUAAUGACAGAGAUUUCUAAUUGUGAUCAUUUUGGUGUUUUCAUUGUGUACUUGAGUGAAAGUUAAAAUUUAAAAAUUGAAGUGUGUAAGGUAAAAGAGCGCUUACUUUGCAGUUCAAAUAAUUUCAUCCUUCUAUUUAUUAUUUUUUCAUUAUUUAAUUAAAUGACAAUCUAAUUAUCUAUCCACUUGUGUGAAUAAGAUAUUUAAUUAUCAUUUAAGUUAUGGACAAAUGCCUCUAUGAGAUGGUCACGUGAGAGGGACUUGUUAAAACCCAAUCAAAUAAUAUUGAGUCUUUAUGCUACCAAGUUAAGCUUGCACGGGUCCAAUCUUUUAGCAUCUCAUUUUAUUGUUUGAGUUGAUUUUUAAACUAACUUUUCUUAGUUAUGUAUAACAGAUGGUCUUGGCCCUUUAUCUGUAAGUCUAAUAUCCACGGGCACAAGCAUCGGAGGCAUCGUUCUCUCCGCGCUGGUGAUAUUUCUCAUCUACAAAUCAAGAGAAUCUGAAAAAGAAAAAGAAACUCAACUGAAGGUGGAGAAGUUCCUCGAAAACUACAGGACCGUCGAUCCCACCCGAUAUACUUACAAAGAGCUGAAGAAAAUAACAAGCAGAUUUAAGCACAGGCUCGGCCAGGGAGGUUACGGAAGCGUGUUCAGAGGAAAACUCUUCAACGGAAUUCCAGUUGCUGUCAGGAUGUUGGAACAUUUAAAAGGAAAUGGACAAGAGUUCAUCAAUGAAGUGGCCACAAUUGGCAGGAUUCACCACUUCCACAUUGUUCGGCUUCUGGGAUUUUGCUCUGAAGGAAACAGACGUGCUCUUAUUUACGAGUUUAUGCCCAACGGAUCACUUGAGAAAUUCAUCUUCUCAAAGACAAAUAGCUCAAGUCAUCGUCAAUUGAGUUGGGAGAAGCUGAGGAAGAUUGCAUUUGGCGUUGCCCGUGGAGUGGAGUACUUGCACCAAGGAUGCAACCGAAGGAUUCUGCACUUCGAUAUCAAGCCUCACAAUAUAUUAUUAGACCAUAAUUUUCAACCGAAGAUUUCAGAUUUUGGGCUGGCUAAGUUGUGCUCUAAGGACAUAAGCAUUGUAUCUCUGACAGCUGCCAGAGGCACUGCUGGCUACAUGCACCUGAACNNNNNNNNNNNNNNNNNNNNNNNNNNNNNNNNNNNNNNNNNNNNNNNNNNNNNNNNNNNNNNNNNNNNNNNNNNNNNNNNNNNNNNNNNNNNNNNNNNNNUUCAAUUGGGUUGGGAGAAGAUGAGAAAGAUAACAUUGGGCGUUGCCCAAGGAAAGAGGGACUGGCCCCAGAGAUUGCAACAGAAGGAUUCUGCACUUCGAUAUCAAGCCUCACAAUUAUAUUAUUAGACCAUAAUUUUCAACCGAAGAUUUCAGAUUUUGGGCUGGCUAAGUUGUGCUCUAAGGACAUAAGCAUUGUAUCUCUGACAGCUGCCAGAGGCACUGCUGGCUACAUUGCACCUGAACUUUUCUCCAGGAAUUUUGGUGAGGUCUCUUACAAGUCUGAUGUUUACAGUUAUGGAAUGAUGCUGUUAGAGAUGGUCGGAUGCAGAAAAAAUAAUGAUCCUGCGGUUGAAAUUCAAAGCCAAAUAUAUUUUCCGGAGUGGAUUUACAAUAGAACGAGGCAAGGACAAGAGCUCUGUUUGGAAUUUGAGGAAGAUGGGGAUGAGGGAAUUGCCAGAAAGCUUGCAAUUGUGGCACUUUGGUGCAUUCAAUGGAAUCCCACGGAGAGACCUUCCAUGCCAAUGGUAUUACAAAUGCUUGAAGCUGAUUUACAAAGCUUGGAGAUCCCUCCAA
Molecule: long non-coding RNA, 15201 nt
Filed under: Citrus x clementina
Lineage: Eukaryota; Viridiplantae; Streptophyta; Magnoliopsida; Sapindales; Rutaceae
Description: Citrus clementina (C. clementina) long non-coding RNA (CCLE_LNC005613)
Source: RNAcentral